GACGAACGCUGGCGGCGUGCUUAACACAUGCAAGUCGUACGGUAAGGCCCUUUCGGGGGUACACGAGUGGCGAACGGGUGAGUAACACGUGAGUAACCUGCCCACAACUUUGGGAUAACGCUAGGAAACUGGUGCUAAUACUGGAUAUGUGCUCCUGCUGCAUGGUGGGGGUUGGAAAGCUCCGGCGGUUGUGGAUGGACUCGCGGCCUAUCAGCUUGUUGGUGGGGUAGUGGCCUACCAAGGCGGCGACGGGUAGCCGGCCUGAGAGGGUGACCGGCCACAUUGGGACUGAGAUACGGCCCAGACUCCUACGGGAGGCAGCAGUGGGGAAUAUUGCACAAUGGGCGCAAGCCUGAUGCAGCAACGCCGCGGGCGGGAUGACGGCCUUCGGGUUGUAAACCGCUUUCAGCAGGGGCGAAGCUUUUUGUGACGGUACCUGCAGAAGAAGCACCGGCUAACUACGUG
RNAcentral lists this ribosomal RNA (465 nucleotides) under uncultured bacterium. RNAcentral describes it as "partial 16S ribosomal RNA". It matches the Rfam family "Bacterial small subunit ribosomal RNA", at positions 28 to 507 of the family's 1533-position model. The record is from RNAcentral.